This 380-nucleotide long non-coding RNA is filed under the name Lathyrus oleraceus (garden pea). Its description in RNAcentral is "Pisum sativum (pea) long non-coding RNA (PSAT_LNC010138)". The record is from RNAcentral. Lineage: Eukaryota; Viridiplantae; Streptophyta; Magnoliopsida; Fabales; Fabaceae.
GAAAACAGCCCCACGUUAGGAACUUUGAAUUUUAUGGCAUUUUAUCACAGGAAUAACAUGGUCAAAUAUUCAGGGUAUUCAGGCAUAUUUAAAUUCCCAUACGAAAGCAAAUUAUAUAUCAACAUUUAAUCAUGAUGCAUUAUAUAUGUAGAUAUGGCCAAUUGAAAGUAUAAACAAUAGAGAUACGCAAACCUGUUUGCCAAUUCAAGGUUGAAGGGAUUGACCCCUUGUAGUAUCGGAAUAAGUUAGGCAGCGGGAAUUGGACGGCGAUGGCUUCGGUGCAGAUGGGCUGCCUUCAGGUUUCUUUACUCUGAAUUCUCCGGGUAGGCAGGGUUCCUAUGCCAAAGUUUCUAUCCGUCCUUCUCUGUUCUCUCUCUUUC